AACGAACGCUGGCGGCAUGCCUAACACAUGCAAGUCGAACGAGACCUUCGGGUCUAUUGGCGCACGGCUGCUUAACGCGUGGUAACCUGCCCUUAAGUUCGGUAUAACUCCCCUAAAGGGGUGCUAAUAACGGUUAAUGUCUUCCGGCCAAAGAUGUCUGGCCUCUGGAUGGGCCCGCGUUGGAUUAGCUGGUUGGUAGGGUAAUAGCCUACCAAGGCGAUGAUCCAUAGCUGGUCUGAGAGGAUGAUCAGCCACACUGGGACUGCGACACGGACCAGAAUGCGAGGGGAGGGAGCAGUAGGGAAUAUUGGAGAAGGGGGCAAAGCGUGACACAGCAACGCCGCGGGUGUGAUGAAGGCCUUAGGGUUGUAAAGUUCCUUUAGCCGAGAUGUUAGUGACAGUAACGGGUGAAUAAGCACCGGCUAACUACGUG
Molecule: ribosomal RNA, 433 nt
Filed under: uncultured bacterium
Lineage: Bacteria
Description: partial 16S ribosomal RNA
Rfam family: Bacterial small subunit ribosomal RNA
Source: RNAcentral